This 467-nucleotide ribosomal RNA is filed under the name uncultured bacterium. RNAcentral describes it as "partial 16S ribosomal RNA". It matches the Rfam family "Bacterial small subunit ribosomal RNA", at positions 28 to 507 of the family's 1533-position model. The record is from RNAcentral.
GACGAACGCUGGCGGCGUGCUUAACACAUGCAAGUCGAACGGAAAGGCCUCUUUCGGGGGGUACUCGAGUGGCGAACGGGUGUGUAACACGUGAGUAACCUGCCCUUGACUUUGGGAUAACUUCAGGAAACUGGGGCUAAUACCGGAUAGGAGCUCCUGCUGCAUGGUGGGGGUUGGAAAGUUUCGGCGGUUGGGGAUGGGCUCGCGGCUUAUCAGCUUGUUGGUGGGGUAGUGGCUUACCCAGGCCUUGACGGGUAGCCGGCCUGGGAGGGUGACCGGGCACAGUGGGACUGGGAUACGGCCCAGACUCCUACGGGAGGCAGCAGUGGGGAAUAUUGCACAAUGGGUGGAAGCCUGAUGCAGCAACGCCGUGUGCGGGAUGACGGCCUUCGGGUUGGAAACCGCUUUCGCUCAUGACGAAGCUUUGUGUGACGGUAGUGGGUAAAGAAGCACCGGCUAACUACGUG